Molecule: RNA transcript, 1692 nt
Organism: Chelonia mydas (Green sea turtle)
Lineage: Eukaryota; Metazoa; Chordata; Testudines; Cheloniidae
Gene name: oxidized low-density lipoprotein receptor 1-like
Exons: 8
Source: RefSeq, a predicted model, not a curated record
UGUGCAGUUGCAGCUGGAACAUCGCAGAGUAAAGAAUUCUCCCUCUCUCUCAGCUCACAUUGACCAUAUUCUCAGAGGAUAGACUCUGAACUCUCUUCUUUCCCUGAGGACAUCUAUGUAGGACUGACUACACAAGUGUACCUCUUAAAGUUCUAUUCCAGAAAUCCACUUGACAGACCUCUGGACAUAUACACAGAAUGAGCGAGCAGGAGGUGACCUACUCAGAACUGAAAUUUCACACUCCUACUCAACAGCAAAUCCGACAGAGAGCUGAGAUCACCAAGAACAAAGAUUUGUCUUCUCCUCUGUGGAGGCCCUUUGCAGUAAUCUUUGGAAUCCUCUGCCUGGCUUUGCUGGUAACAUCAGGGGUCUUGGGUGCUCUGGUUUGCAGAUGGCAGCAAAACUUCAGCCAGCAGCAGGGAAUUCUGGAAAAUCUUACCUGCCAGCAAAUUAUCUUGGAAAACCAAACUCAUGAGCUACAGGAAAUCCUAGAAAACCUCACAAGGGAGAGAGAUUAUCUUCAAACCCAGAAUAUUAAUUUCUUGAAGACUUUGCAGUCAAAAGUAAUGUUGCUGCGUUGGUCCCAAGAUAUUACAAUGAGAAGGAGACAAGUGCAUCAUUUGUCCAAAGAACUGGAUACAGCAUGGGAAGGACUGUUAUGAACUUUCGUCUGGUAUAAAAUCUUGGUCUGUGUGUAAAGAAUAUUGCUCUUCCCUGGGCUCCAGACUGCUGAAGAUAGACAGCAAGGAAGAGCUGGACUUCAUAAAACCACUGACAAGUUUUCGUUACUGGAUGGGAUUAUUGUAUAAUGACACCAAAGGUUACUGGCAAUGGGAAGAUGGCACUGCUCUCACCACUGAUGUGUUUCCAAGUCUGAGAAGUUACCACGGUCCAUAUUGUGCAACACUGAAAAAUGGAAAAGCCUUGGGCUAUUCUUGUGAAAGCCUAAACUUCUGUGUGUGUGAAAAGGGUCUGUUUAGCUAAAGUCUUCUGUAAUGGCACAAGAAUGAACAUAUGAGGUCCUAUUUUGGAGGAUCCAGUUGCUACUGUUGCCUAUAUUUAUAAGGCUCCAUCUUGUAUGGAGCCGAGUAUGGAGUCCAACUUAAGUCAUCCAACUCCGACAUAAGUUAUUUAAGUUUUGAGCAUUGUGGUCCUGUUUCAGCAGAGCACAAAACAGGACAGGGUCCCUACUAAACUGUUAAAAUUCUCUGUUGUGCUCACAAAGUGCUUGUAAGCUAUUAUAGAAGGAGAUGGCUCCUCUUUCAGUGGGAGAAACAAUAAUCACACUCCACUUCACCAACCAGCCUUCUGUUCUUGGCCCUUGCUGCUGCUACUGUUCAUCUGUUCCAAAAUCCAGACCAGACUGCAGAAUGUGACACUGCUGUGGAGCCAGCUUGAGCUACUGUCCCCAGGAUUCACCCAUCUCACAUGGAGAACUCUCUUAUCUCCUGUUGCCAAUAUAUCAUUUUUUAUACAAAAACUUUUUUUUUUUGCUUCUAAUUCUGAUUUUUUUCUUGUCCUGUGCCAAAAAUAUAUUUUUUUUACCUAUUAUGUUCAUAUAUGAUGACUUACUAUUAAACAACUGAAACAAUGUUCUAAUUCUUUGGUAAUUAUUACUUUGGCUUUGAGAGGUCCUCUUUAAUUCCCUGUCCCCAAUAUUAUUAUGCCACCUAACAACAAUCAGAAGGGAAA